AAUAUUGGACAAUGGGCGAAAGCCUGAUCCAGCCAUCCCGCGUGUAUGAAGAAGGCCUUCGGAUUGUAAAGUACUUUAGGCUGGGAGGAAGAGCAGUCAGUUAAUACCUGACAGUUCUGACGGUACCGACAGAAUAAGCACCGGCUAACUUCGUGCCAGCAGCCGCGGUAAUACGAAGGGUGCAAGCGUUAAUCGGAAUUACUGGGCGUAAAGCGCGCGUAGGUGGUUUGUUAAGUUGGAAGUGAAAGCCCCGGGCUCAACCUUGGAACUGCUUUUAAAACUGGCAAGCUAGAGUAUGGCAGAGGGUGGUAGAAUUUCCUGUGUAGCAGUGAAAUGCGUAGAUAUAGGAAGGAACACCAGUGGCGAAGGCAACCACCUGGGAUAAUACUGACGCUGAGAUGCGAAAGCGUGGGGAGCAAACA
RNAcentral lists this ribosomal RNA (422 nucleotides) under uncultured bacterium. RNAcentral describes it as "partial 16S ribosomal RNA". It matches the Rfam family "Bacterial small subunit ribosomal RNA", at positions 360 to 774 of the family's 1533-position model. The record is from RNAcentral.